GCUCGGAAGACGGACUUAGUGAUCGGGUGGUGCCGCAUGGAAGGGCCACCGCUCAACGGAUAAAAGCGACCACGGGGAUAACAGGCUUAUCUCCCCCAGGGGUUCACAUCGACGGGGAGGUUUGGCCCCUCGAUGUCGGCUCACCGCCGCCAGGGGCUGUGGUCGGUCCCAAGCGUUGGGCUGUUCGCCCGUUAAGGCGGUGCGCGUGCUGGGUUGAGAACGUCGUGGGACAGUUCGGUCCCUAUCCGUCGUGGGCGUAGGAAAUUUGAGAGGAGCUGUCCUUAGUACGAGAGGACCGGGAUGGACAUACCUCUGGUGUACCAGUUGUCGUGCCAACGGCAUAGCUGGGUAGCUAUGUAUGGACGGGAUAAGUGCUGAAAGCAUCUAAGCA
Molecule: ribosomal RNA, 391 nt
Filed under: Staphylococcus pseudintermedius
Lineage: Bacteria; Bacillati; Bacillota; Bacilli; Caryophanales; Staphylococcaceae
Description: bacterial LSU rRNA
Rfam family: Bacterial large subunit ribosomal RNA
Source: RNAcentral